This 514-nucleotide ribosomal RNA is filed under the name uncultured bacterium. RNAcentral describes it as "partial 16S ribosomal RNA". It matches the Rfam family "Bacterial small subunit ribosomal RNA", at positions 28 to 523 of the family's 1533-position model. The record is from RNAcentral.
GAUGAACGCUGGCGGCGUGCCUAAUACAUGCAAGUCGAGCGAACUGAUUAGAAGCUUGCUUCUAUGACGUUAGCGGCGGACGGGUGAGUAACACGUGGGCAACCUGCCUGUAAGACUGGGAUAACUUCGGGAAACCGAAGCUAAUACCGGAUAGGAUCUUCUCCUUCAUGGGAGAUGAUUGAAAGAUGGUUUCGGCUCUCACUUACAGAUGGGCCCGCGGUGCAUUAGCAAGUUGGUGAGGUAACGACUCACCAAGGCAACGAUGCGUAGCCGACCUGAGAGAGUGAUCGCCCACACUGGGACUGAGACACGGCCCAGACGCCUACGGGAGGCAGCAGUAGGGAAUCUUCCGCAAUGGACGAAAGUCUGACGGAGCAACGCCGCGUGAGUGAUGAAGGCUUUCGGGUCGUAAAACUCUGUUGUUAGGGAAGAAUAAGUACAAGAGUGACUGCUUGUACCUUGACGGUACCUAACCAGAAAGCCACGGCUAACUACGUGCCAGCAGCCGCCGUAA